RNAcentral lists this ribosomal RNA (774 nucleotides) under uncultured Neocallimastigales. RNAcentral's name for it is "partial large subunit ribosomal RNA". It matches the Rfam family "Eukaryotic large subunit ribosomal RNA", at positions 26 to 614 of the family's 3401-position model. Lineage: Eukaryota; Fungi; Neocallimastigomycota; Neocallimastigomycetes; Neocallimastigales. The record is from RNAcentral.
CGCAUCUGUGCAUGCAGCAUAUCAAUAAGCGGAGGAAAAGAAACUAACAAGGAUUCCCCUAGUAACGGCGAGUGAAGCGGGAAGAGCUCAAAUUUGAAAUCUUAAAGGGUUUCCCUUUACGAAUUGUAGUUUAAAGAAGUGUUUUCUGUUGAGGUUUUGGUAAAAGUUCUUUGGAAUAGGACAUCAUAGAGGGUGAGAAUCCCGUAUUUGACCUUUACUUUCAACUGUGUGAUACACUUUCAAAGAGUCGGAUUGUUUGGGAAUGCAGUCCAAAAUGGGUGGUAAAUUUCAUCUAAAGCUAAAUAUUGGCGAGAGACCGAUAGCGAACAAGUACCGUGAGGGAAAGAUGAAAAGAACCUUGAAAAGAGAGUUAAACAGUACGUGAAAUUGUCAAAAGGGAAGCGUUUGACACCAGUGUUGUUUUUCUGAAAAUCAAUUAAAGAACUGUUUAUGCUAAGCUGUUUAGACUUUAUCAGCUAACUGUUUAGUUUUGAGCUUUUCUUUAAUGCACUUUUCAGUUAACAAGUCAACAUCAAUUUCUUUUGCUGUAAAAAAGCUUGAGGAAGGUGGCUUGAGAUUCGUCUUAAGUGUUUAUAGCCUCUUGCCUAUGCAGUCGGAGAGAUCGAGGUCUGCAGCGUAGAUCCUUCGGGGCUAAAUGCAUUUGUGCUAAGUUAUAGCACUUUAUAGACAACUUGUUGACUAUGAUUUGUCUAGUAGCUUACUCGCUUAUGUUAUUUUACCUACGCUUAGGAUGUUGAGUCAUCACACAUCUCU